RNAcentral lists this non-coding RNA (24 nucleotides) under Arabidopsis thaliana (thale cress). The record is from RNAcentral. Lineage: Eukaryota; Viridiplantae; Streptophyta; Magnoliopsida; Brassicales; Brassicaceae.
CAAAUAAUUUGCUACCGCUGCUGC